GAUGAACGCUGACAGAAUGCUUAACACAUGCAAGUCAACUUGAAUUUGGGUUUUUAACUUAGGUUUGGGUGGCGGACGGGUGAGUAACGCGUAAAGAACUUGCCUCACAGCUAGGGACAACAUUUGGAAACGAAUGCUAAUACCUAAUAUUAUGAUAAUAGGGCAUCCUAUAAUUAUGAAAGCUAUAGGCGCUGUGAGAGAGCUUUGCGUCCCAUUAGCUAGUUGGAGAGGUAACGGCUCACCAAGGCGAUGAUGGGUAGCCGGCCUGAGAGGGUGAUCGGCCACAAGGGGACUGAGACACGGCCCUUACUCCUACGGGAGGCAGCAGUGGGGAAUAUUGGACAAUGGACCGAGAGUCUGAUCCAGCAAUUCUGUGUGCACGAUGAAGUUUUUCGGAAUGUAAAGUGCUUUCAGUUGGGAAGAAACAAAUGACGGUACCAACAGAAGAAGUGACGGCUAAAUACGUG
RNAcentral lists this ribosomal RNA (467 nucleotides) under uncultured bacterium. RNAcentral describes it as "partial 16S ribosomal RNA". It matches the Rfam family "Bacterial small subunit ribosomal RNA", at positions 28 to 507 of the family's 1533-position model. The record is from RNAcentral.